AGAGACAGAAGUAUCGUACAUGGCACCUUAUUGACAAAAAAAACACAUGCAAUAAGAAACGCGCGCACUGAGCAUUAUUGCUCUCAGAGAGGUGUACUCCCGAAUAUUGAAAAACAUUCGUGAACUGGCAACAAGAGCAUCGUUGCAACAAAUUUGCACGAAUAAGCAAGAUAUCGCUUUCUUGUUUAAAGCUGCGUUUUGGACGUUGUAGACUUGCAAUGAAGAUUCUACUGAUUGGUGUCUUGCUGAUCAUUUUGCUAGUCCACGUGGAGGGUGGACGCAAGAAAAGAUGUGAAUCUCCGUCGAGAAGUAGGAGGUGCCGUAAGUGCAGUGUUGGAUGUAAUAACAGAUGUAAACCUUUACCUCGUGGCCAGCCUUGCAACAACAAGACACUGCUUGAGAAGUGUAUUACAUGUCUGCAUAAAUGCUGUACUCCCGCACCUAAUACACCCCUCGAUGUCGAGAGGAGGAUCUGUCUCGGCCUUGACUAAAUGGAGAAUGAAGAAAACCUAUGCAAUUUAAUAAACUGUAUGUUAUACAGA
Long non-coding RNA from Dermacentor albipictus, 542 nucleotides. RefSeq lists it as uncharacterized. The record is from RefSeq and is a predicted model, not a curated record. Lineage: Eukaryota; Metazoa; Arthropoda; Arachnida; Ixodida; Ixodidae.